RNAcentral lists this ribosomal RNA (496 nucleotides) under uncultured bacterium. RNAcentral describes it as "partial 16S ribosomal RNA". It matches the Rfam family "Bacterial small subunit ribosomal RNA", at positions 29 to 507 of the family's 1533-position model. The record is from RNAcentral.
AUGAACGCUGGCGGCGUGCCUAAUACAUGCCCGUCGAGCGAACGGACGAGAAGCUUGCUUCUCUGAUGUUAGCGGCGGACGGGUGAGUAACACGUGGAUAACCUACCUAUAAGACUGGGAUAACUUCGGGAAACCGGAGCUAAUACCGGAUAAUAUUUUGAACCGCAUGGUUCAAAAGUGAAAGACGGUCUUGCUGUCACUUAUAGAUGGAUCCGCGCUGCAUUAGCUAGUUGGUAAGGUAACGGCUUACCAAGGCAACGAUGCAAAGCCGACCUGAGAGGGUGAUCGGCCACACUGGAACUGAGACACGGUCCAGACUCCUACGGGAGGCAGCAGUAGGGAAUCUUCCGCAAUGGGCGAAAGCCUGACGGAGCAACGCCGCGUGAGUGAUGAAGGUCUUCGGAUCGUAAAACUCUGUUAUUAGGGAAGAACAUAUGUGUAAGUAACUGUGCACAUCUUGACGGUACCUAAUCAGAAAGCCACGGCUAACUACGUG